Molecule: unclassified non-coding RNA, 495 nt
Filed under: uncultured Bartonella sp.
Lineage: Bacteria; Pseudomonadati; Pseudomonadota; Alphaproteobacteria; Hyphomicrobiales; Bartonellaceae
Description: partial 16S-23S ribosomal RNA intergenic spacer
Rfam family: tRNA (bases 118-191)
Source: RNAcentral
AUCAAAAGCUUUAAGGAAAGCUCUUUGUUUUUUGAAAGGGUGCUUUUAUGAGAUAAAGCUUUUUUAGAUAAUGCUUUUUUAGAUAAUGCUGGGGAAGGUUUUCCGGUUUAUCUCGGAGGGCUUGUAGCUCAGUUGGUUAGAGCGCGCGCUUGAUAAGCGUGAGGUCGGAGGUUCAAGUCCUCCCAGGCCCACCAAUUUACCUAUCCAUUUGCCUUUAUCCGUUUAUUUGCCGAUUUAUCGGUCUAUUGAAUUUAAGUGUUGGUAGCAGUUUUUAUAAUGAUGAGAAUUCAUGCUUAUAAAGGAACUCCUUAUAAAAGGCUUGUUUUUAAAAUGCGACGCUUAUCCAUUUCGCUUAGGCAAGAGAAACUUCAAGCGGUUCAAAUGCAAAAGGCUUUAAAUUUUGCAAAACACUUUGAAUUUUAAAGUGAUCCAAGUUCGUGAUCUCGAAUUUAAAAGUUUCGAAUGCUUUAUCCUUUUUUGGGGGCCGUAGCUCAG